UGGUGCCUUAGCUCAGUUGGUAGAGCAAAGGACUGAAAAUCCUUGUGUCCCUGGUUCGAUUCCUGGAGGCACCACCAU
Molecule: transfer RNA, 78 nt
Filed under: Capnocytophaga gingivalis ATCC 33624
Lineage: Bacteria; Pseudomonadati; Bacteroidota; Flavobacteriia; Flavobacteriales; Flavobacteriaceae
Description: tRNA-Phe
Rfam family: tRNA
About the family: Transfer RNA (tRNA) molecules are approximately 80 nucleotides in length.
Source: RNAcentral